This 253-nucleotide ribosomal RNA is filed under the name uncultured bacterium. Its description in RNAcentral is "partial 16S ribosomal RNA". It matches the Rfam family "Bacterial small subunit ribosomal RNA", at positions 524 to 776 of the family's 1533-position model. The record is from RNAcentral.
UACGUAGGUGGCAAGCGUUGUCCGGAUUUACUGGGCGUAAAGAGCGCGCAGGCGGUCGUUCAAGUCGCGUGUGAAAGUCCCCGGCUCAACUGGGGAGGGUCACGCGAUACUGAUCGACUCGAAGGCAGGAGAGGGUAGUGGAAUUCCCGGUGUAGUGGUGAAAUGCGCAGAUAUCAGGAGGAACACCGGUGGCGAAGGCGGGUCUCUGGGCCGAUACUGACGCUGAGGAGCGAAAGCGUGGGGAGCGAACAGG